Molecule: unclassified non-coding RNA, 491 nt
Filed under: Hevea brasiliensis (rubber tree)
Lineage: Eukaryota; Viridiplantae; Streptophyta; Magnoliopsida; Malpighiales; Euphorbiaceae
Source: RNAcentral
GAUGGAGAAAGGUGGUAUUCCAACGAUAGAUCUGCAAGAUUUUCCAGGACAGUUUGAGCGACUGAGAAAAGCAUGCGAGGAGUGGGGUUGUUUCAGAAUUGUGAACCACAAUAUACCCUCAGCUCUCAUGUCGGAGAUGAAGAACGUUGUGAGAUCUCUGCUAGACCUUCCCAUGGAAAUCAAGAGGCGCAACACAGAUGUAAUAUCAGGCAGCGGCUAUGUAGCACCCUCCCAGACCAAUCCUCUUUACGAGGCCUUGGGUCUUUAUGACUUGGGCUCUUCCCAAGCUGUGCAUACCUUCUGCUCCCAGUUGGAUGCCUCUCCUCAUCAAAGAGAGGUCAUAGAGAUGUAUGCUAAAGCAGUUCAUGAGCUGUCCAUGGAUUUAGCUGGGAAGUUGGCUCAAAGCAUGGGAUUGAUUAGAACUGAUUUGUUUGAGGGAUGGCCUUGCCAAUUUAGGAUCAACAAGUAUAACUUCACUCCUGAAACUGUAG